UACCCCAAACCGACACAGGUGGACUGGUAGAGAAUACCAAGGCGCUUGAGAGAACCACAUUUAAGGAACUCGGCAAAAUACCUCCGUAAGUUCGCGAGAAGGAGGCCCCGUCGUUGCGCAAGCAGUGGCGGGGGGCACAAAAAUGGGGGUGGCGACUGUUUACUAAAAACACAGGGCUCUGCGAAGUCGCAAGAAGACGUAUAGGGUCUGACGCCUGCCCGGUGCCGGAAGGUUAAAAGGAGAUGUGCAAGCAUUGAAUUGAAGCCCCGGUAAACGGCGGCCGUAACAAUAACGGUCCUAAGGUAGCGAAAUUCCUUGUCGGGUAAGUUCCGACCUGCACGAAUGGCGUAACGACUUCCCCGCUGCCUCAAAUGUGGACUCAGCGAAAUUGAAUUGUCUGUGAAGAUGCAGACUUCCCGCGGUUAGACGGAAAGACCCCACGCACCUUUACUAUAGCUUCGCACUGGCAUCAGGAUUGUGAUGUGCAGGAUAGGUGGUAGGCAUUGAAACCGGGACGCCAGUUCCGGUGGAGCCAUCCUUGAGAUACCACCCUUCGCACUCUUGAUGUCUAACCGCGGCCCGUUAUCCGGGUCCGGGACCCUGCGUGGUGGGUAGUUUGACUGGGGCGGUCGCCUCCCAAACAGUAACGGAGGCGCGCGAAGGUAGGCUCAGAGCGGUCGGAAAUCGCUCGUUGAGUGCAAUGGCAGAAGCCUGCCUGACUGCAAGACUGACAAGUCGAGCAGAGACGAAAGUCGGUCAUAGUGAUCCGGUGGUCCCGAGUGGAAGGGCCAUCGCUCAACGGAUAAAAGGUACGCUGGGGAUAACAGGCUGAUGAUGCCCAAGAGUCCAUAUCGACGGCAUCGUUUGGCACCUCGAUGUCGGCUCAUCUCAUCCUGGGGCUGGAGCAGGUCCCAAGGGUACGGCUGUUCGCCGUUUAAAGAGGUACGUGAGCUGGGUUUAGAACGUCGUGAGACAGUUCGGUCCCUAUCUGCCGUGGGCGUAGGAUACUUGAGAGGAGUUGCCCCUAGUACGAGAGGACCGGGGUGAACGUUCCACUGGUGGACCAGUUGUCGUGCCAACGGCAGUGCUGGGUAGCUAUGAACGGACAGGAUAAACGCUGAAGGCAUCUAAGCGUGAAGCCCCCCUCAAAACAAGGUAUCCCUUGAGAGCCGUGGAAGACCACCACGUCGAUAGGCCGGAGAUGUAAGCGCAGCAAUGCGUUCAGUUGACCGGUACUAAUGGCUC
RNAcentral lists this ribosomal RNA (1245 nucleotides) under metagenome. Its description in RNAcentral is "bacterial LSU rRNA". It matches the Rfam family "Bacterial large subunit ribosomal RNA", at positions 1645 to 2910 of the family's 2925-position model. The record is from RNAcentral.